RNAcentral lists this ribosomal RNA (324 nucleotides) under Rhodotorula sp. YIL. Its description in RNAcentral is "eukaryotic LSU rRNA". It matches the Rfam family "Eukaryotic large subunit ribosomal RNA", at positions 331 to 670 of the family's 3401-position model. Lineage: Eukaryota; Fungi; Basidiomycota; Microbotryomycetes; Sporidiobolales; Sporidiobolaceae. The record is from RNAcentral.
AGACCGAUAGCGAACAAGUACCGUGAGGGAAAGAUGAAAAGCACUUUGGAAAGAGAGUUAACAGUACGUGAAAUUGUUGGAAGGGAAACGCUUGAAGUCAGACUUGCUUGCCGGAGCUUGCUUCGGUUUGCAGGCCAGCAUCAGUUUUCCGGGGUGGAUAAUGGUGGUUUGAAGGUAGCAGCCUCGGCUGUGUUAUAGCUUUCCACUGGAUACAUCCUGGGGGACUGAGGAACGCAGCGUGCUUUUUGCGAAGGUUUCGACCUUUUCACGCUUAGGAUGCUGGUGUAAUGACUUUAAACGACCCGUCUUGAAACACGGACCAAG